AAUUGACGGGGGCCCGCACAAGCGGUGGAUGAUGUGGAUUAAUUCGAUGCAACGCGAAAAACCUUACCUGGUCUUGACAUGUCUAGAAUCCCUUAGAGAUAGGGGAGUGCCGCAAGGAACUAGAACACAGGUGCUGCAUGGCUGUCGUCAGCUCGUGUCGUGAGAUGUUGGGUUAAGUCCCGCAACGAGCGCAACCCUUGCCAUUAGUUGCUACCAUUUAGUUGAGCACCCUAAUGGGACUGCCGGUGACAAACCGGAGGAAGGUGGGGAUGACGUCAAGUCCUCAUGGCCCUUAUGACCAGGGCUUCACACGUCAUACAAUGGUCGGUACAGAGGGUCGCCAACCCGCGAGGGGGAGCCAAUCCCAGAAAACCGAUCGUAGUCCGGAUCGGAGUCUGCAACUCGACUCCGUGAAGUCGGAAUCGCUAGUAAUCGCGGAUCAGCAUGUCGCGGUGAAUACGUUCCCGGGCCUUGAACACACCACCAUCCAUAUGUCUGUUGCUCCCACGCGAGGCAGCAGUGGGGAAUCUUGGACAAUGGGCGCAAGCCUGACUCUCUAGCAAUGCCGCGUGGGUGAAGAAGGCCUUCGGGUUGUAAAGCCCUUUUGUUUGGGAGCAAAUCCUGCCGGUUAAUACCUGGUGGGGAUGAGAGUACCAAAAGAAUCAGCACCGGCUAACUACGUGCCAGCAGCCGCGGUAAUACGUAGGGUGCAAGCGUUAAUCGGAAUUACUGGGCGUAAAGCGUGCGCAGGUGGUUUUACAAGACCGACGUGAAAGCCCCGGGCUCAACCUGGGAACUGCGUUGGUGACUGUAAGGCUAGAGUGUGGCAGAGGGGGGUGGAAUUCCACGUGUAGCAGUGAAAUGCGUAGAUAUGUGGAGGAACACCGAUGGCGAAGGCAGCCCCCUGGGUUAACACUGACACUCAUGCACGAA
This 933-nucleotide ribosomal RNA is filed under the name uncultured Neisseriaceae bacterium. RNAcentral describes it as "bacterial SSU rRNA". The stretch from base 1 to 625 matches the Rfam family "Bacterial small subunit ribosomal RNA", at positions 908 to 1533 of the family's 1533-position model. Lineage: Bacteria; Pseudomonadati; Pseudomonadota; Betaproteobacteria; Neisseriales; Neisseriaceae. The record is from RNAcentral.